UACAAUUACAAUAUUGGUUUUGUCUCCACCAAAUUAAUCAAUAAAUUCAUGUCAUUAAGUACAAAAUACUACUAUUCUUCCUCUACAUCUUCUACCUUUUAGCUUUUAGUGUAUCUCAUUCUCAUACCUGGACUUUUGAGUAAUCUAGUUUCCAUGUCAAAACAUACUACUAAGAGCAUUUCUGAUGCAACCAUAUGAAAUGGUUUCUAGUAGUUGUCGUCAUUAGACAUUGAAGUCCCUGUGUGUCACAUAAAGUUAAUCCAUAAACGUCUAUAACAACUUAAAAACUAUCUUAAAAUCUCUAAUGCAAUCUUCUAGUAUGGGAGUUAUGUGGCAUAUUCCUAUUCGAUGAUGAGAUGCUUUUGACUAACACAUUUCUAAAAUGAAUAGCAAUGGAGCCAAUGUAUAAGAGACUGUAUAGAUGAAGACAGGGCUACAUUUUUCUGCAACAUAGGACUGAUAAUGUAGUGUGCAUUAUGUGGCAUACCUAAGCAUGCAUACAUGGCAUUCCCCCCAUCUUCCACACUUGCUUUUAAAAUGCUCUAAGAAGUAAGAAUCCUCAUCACACCUUAGUCUAGAUCGAAUGGAGUACAACACCAUCUAUUAGAAAGUUUUGAAAUAUGGUAGAGAGAUCGCACAGUUGUUACUUCCAAGGAUGAUGAAUUCAUGCACAAAUACAGUUCUAUAAGAUGAUUUAAUUUACCAUGUGUAGAUAGAUUCAACAUAGGCAUAUUACAACAGGUGUUAUCUGAGUACACAAAACAAGAAAGUGUUGCGUUGAUCAAUAAACUAUAACUCAGAUACAUAUUACCUUGGUAAAGACUUUGUAAGUAGAAACAAGUAAUCAGACAAUGUGUUGAAUUCAAAUAUAAUGGCAUGUGUGUUAAGAUGCAUGCAUAAAUGUUUUUUAGUACACCUAACAACCAUGUCGAUAUUUAUAUUUCAUAGUAUUAUAGAUUGAUUAAGAUAAGGUAAGACAAUACUUGCUAAUGGUUAAAAAUGUUGGAGAAAGUGUUACAGAGUUUAAGCCAAAAAAGUCUACAAUUCGACAUUACUUAUUACACUCCUAAUUAUCUUAGUGACACUGUAUUAUCUAGACAACCAUUUCCAAUAUAUCAUCAUCAUCAUCGAGGUGGAAAACUUCGUAUUAUAUUUAUAAAGUACCAUCAACUUAUCUCACUACCUUGGUUAUAAAGUUGGUGGCAGGGGAGGUAACAACUAACAAAAACAUCAAUAGUGAAGUAAGAUUCAAGUAUGGCAGCUGAUCCAGUUGAGAAAGAUAACAUAGAUGAAGCAAAGGUAGAGAUAGAUAUGACAGACUCAGUGCAUGUUCUGAAAGAGAGGAAGGUCUCUUGCGCUACACUUCGGCGUGUAGACUCCCUUAACUUGGAGGCUGGUAUAGUUUCUAAUGUCUCAAGUCACAAUGUCAAGGUCUGAACUACUUUAACUUGAUUGUUGUCAACUAGUCGAAUCCCAGCUAGGUCUAAUCUAUGUAACAAGUGAGAAUGUUUUGUUUUGUGUAUAUCAGGUUGGUUUGAAAACCACACUGUUCUUGGCAUUCCAGAGCAUUGGUGUAAUAUAUGGUGACAUAGGGACAUCUCCACUUUAUGUGUUUGCGAGCACUUUCCCUAAUGGAAUCAAGAACAACAAUGACAUUUUGGGUGUUUUGUCUCUAAUUAUUUACACAAUCCUUCUUUCACCCAUGAUAAAAUAUAUGUUUGUUGUUCUGAAAGCAAAUGAUAAUGGUGAUGGUAAGUAAAUCUUGUAUAAUGCAACAGAAAAAAAUGGUAGUCUUUGUAGCGUUUAUAAACAUAAUUGACCCACUUGGUAAUUCUACUGUUGUAGGGGGAACAUUCGCACUCUACUCAAAGAUAUGCCGCUAUGCAAAGAUAAGCUUAAUUCCGAAUCAGCAAGCAGAGGACACAGAACUUUCGAAUUACAGAAUGGAGUUACCAUCGAAUCAGUCGAGAAGAGCUCAAAAGAUAAAAGAUAAGUUGGAGAACAGUCAUGUGGCUAAACUCUUUCUCUUGCUUAUCACAAUUCUAGGAGUAUCCUUAGUGAUUGGAGAUGGAAUUUUGACUCCAUGUAUUUCAGGUGACCUAUAUACGUGUUUAUUUACAAAUGUUUUGAAUCACCUAUGAAUGUCAUUGCAUUGGAGACUUGUAUUCAUCUAGACUACAACUUGUUGUAGGAAGUAAUUUGGUGAUAUUGUUUGUCUUACAGUGCUUUCUGCAGUGAGUGGGCUCAAGCGGUCGGCAAAGUCCCUUAAUCAAGGUACCUGUACAACAAAAACAGAAACAUUGAUCUUCCCGUUAUGACAUAUAUAGUAAACAUACAUGCAUGAUUACAGUAGAAUUAAUCUCAUGUACAUCUGCUAUUGAGACUUGACUAAACCAUUCUCUAUAAUUUUGAUAUUACAGAUGCCAUUGUUGGAAUUUCUGUAGCUAUCUUGAUCCUCCUCUUUUCUGUCCAACGGUUUGGCACUGAUAAAGUUGGCUAUUCAUUUGCCCCCAUUAUUUUCUUGUGGUUUUCUUUUAUUAGCGGCAUUGGUCUCUACAACUUAUUCAAGUAUGACUUCGGUGUAUUACGUGCCUUCAAUCCAAUAUAUAUUAUAGAUUACUUCAAGAGAAAUGGUAAGGAAGCAUGGAUAUCUCUUGGUGGAGUUGUAUUAUGCAUUACAGGUUAGUACUACAUACUAGUUUGAAGGAUGCAGUUGACUAUGUCUUACUAUGGAGCUAUUUCACUAAUGUAUAUAAUUGGAACAGGCACUGAAGCAAUGUUCGCAGAUCUUGGUCACUUUUCUGUGCGAUCAGUUCAAGUAAGUAGAGCAAACACUUGUGGCGAAAUUUCAAUAAAUUACUGACAUAUCCCAAAAUCUCAACAAAGGGGUAACUUGAUUUUGUUCUGACACCUCGUUCAAAAUAGCUCUGUUUAUAAUAAUUGCAAGUAUACUGGUAUAUAUAUAUGUAUCUUGUCACACAUGAAUAAUGGAAACAUUUUCAAAACAAACCAAGUUGAACUUUCAUAAAUAUCAUUUGUUUGAGCAACAACAUGUAUGACUCAAAGCAGGGAUUUACUUUACCAUGAACUUGCAGAUUAGUUUCACUGGAAUCGUAUUCCCUGCAAUACUUUGUGCCUAUUCAGGACAAGCAGCAUACCUCACGGAGUUCCCACAUCAUGUUCACGAUACUUUCUAUGAAUCAAUCCCAGGUCUGUAAAACCACCUAUAAUGAAAAUACAGAAAAAAAGUCAUUAUUUAUUACAUUUGAAGUUGAUCGUAAGUUUACUUUACUAAUAAUUGCACUAAUCAGCAGAUCCUAUCUACUGGCCAACAUUUGUUGUGGCUGUUUGUGCAUCCAUUAUUGCCAGCCAAGCUAUGAUAUCUGGCGCAUUCGCAAUCAUAUCUCAGUCCCUACGUCUAGGCUGUUUUCCAAGGGUUAAAGUGGUACAUACUUCAGCUAAGUACGAAGGACAAGUUUACAUCCCUGAAAUAAACUUCAUGAUAAUGAUUGCCUGUGUUCUCGUCACAAUAAGCUUUCGGACCACAGCACAGAUUGGCAAUGCAUAUGGUAAGCUAUUUAUCCAUUAAGGUUUUACAAGAAUAUAUGCAGCCAGAUUUUGAUGGAUUUUGACACAUUCAUGCCAUCACUUUUAACACUAUGCUCUGCAAUCAUUUAUAUCCUAUGAAUCCCAACUAUAUACAAUGCUACAUAAUAAUUCAAACUAUGAAUCCGCAAAGAAAUAGAAGACCUAGAGAUUGUUUGGUUAAGUAAAGCAUUACAACAAACUACUUUAAACAGACUUACAGUAAAACACCCUUUCAAAUAAGACAACCUAUCUGAAUAUUUGAAUGAUACACCUUACUUGGACGAUUUGUGUAGGCAUUGCAGUGGUAGGAGCUGAGACAAUUACUACAUGUAUGGUUACACUCAUAAUGCUUAUCAUCUGGAAAACUAGCAUAUGGAGGAUCAUUUUGUUCUUCGUUGUAUUGGGUACUAUGGAGGCCACAUAUCUGACGGCAGUCCUAUAUAAGUUCACACAAGGUGGUUAUCUUCCACUGGCAAUUUCAUUUUUCGUGACAAUAAUAAUGGGUCUUUGGCAUUAUGUACACAAAGAAAGAUACAUGUUUGAGCUCAGGAACAAGGUUUCUAGCGAUUUCAUGAGAGAUCUGACCAUGAAUCCUAAUAUAAAAAGGAUACCUGGAAUUGGUUUUCUAUACUCUGAGCUCGUACAAGGCAUCCCACCUAUAUUUCCGCACUUCAUCUCAAAUAUUCCAUCUGUCCAUUCUGUGCUAGUGUUUGUCUCAAUAAAGUAUAUUCCAAUCAGUAAGGUAGCAAUGGAGGAGCGUUUUCUCUUCCGACAAGUUGAGCCAAGAGAUUACCGGAUGUUUCGUUGUGUUGUCCGCUAUGGAUAUAAAGAUUCUAUGGAAGGACCUGAUGAGUUUGAGUUCCAGCUAAUUGAACAUUUGAAAGAAUUCAUCCGCCAGGAACACUACAUCCUUGAAACUGGUCCCUCUGAACUACUAACUGCUCAACAGCUCAAUGUUGAGCGCCUCUCGUGUUCUGGUCAAUUAUCAGAUGAUGUAAAGGUAGAUGAACCAGCUCCAUCCAGAGUACACAAUGAGGAAUCUUUAGAACAGAGUACUACUACUCGAGCGUUUUCAGAACCAAACCAUCUAGCCACAUUUAAUGGAUCAACAAAUUCCCCUAGCAGAAUCAUCAAUGGGCCCACCCAAGGAGCCGAAGAUGAGAUUCAGUUCAUCCAAAAAGCAAUGGAAAAGGGAGUGGUAUAUCUUUUAGGAGAAACAGAAGUGGGUGCAGAACAGAAGUCCUCAUGGGUCAAGAAGAUAGCAGUUAAUUAUAUGUAUGAUUUCUUAAGGAGGAACUUUAGACAAGGAGAAAAAAUAAUGUCAAUUCCUCGGAGCAGACUUCUACGAGUUGGUAUGGCGUACGAAAUAUGAGAGAUGGGUGUUUUUAUGUUGAUGCCCAAAACUACUGUAAUUGUAUAAACAUGGAGAAGCGUAUGAGUCCUUUGUAAUUGUAUAAAAAUUUGAAGUUAAAAUAAGGCACUGUACUCCUCUUUUCAGUUCAAGCAGUCUUAACAUCACAUUUAUUUACUACUGGAAUCGAUUCAAAAAAUUGUCAGACAAAAACUGGAAAUCCCUUGUUUGUUAUCGGUGACUGAGAUACUAGAUCGUGUAUCACAAACCACAAUAACCUUCUAAUUCUAGCAUAGAAAGAUGUUGAAGCACAAUUACCUGACCUAAAAGGUAGAAUACUGACAAAGUCCUGACAUUGGUGAAGACUGAAACGUUACACUGCCUCCAUUCAAUUUCAAACAGGCAUGCAUUCCCUCUCCAUCAGCAAACUGAAGUAGCAGAAAAUAGCACUAGCAGUUGAAUUUCCAUGAUGUUCUUUAAGAAUUUUACUCCAAAACUUUCACCAAAAUACUCUCCUUCUAAAUCCUCUAACAAAUCCCCUGAAUCCGCCCCAUCUUCAAACUGCCAUUUCACACGAAACCCUACAGAUUCUUUGGCUAGUUACAAUGUGGUUUGUGCAAACCAAUGAAAAUGGAUUUUUAAUAAUGGGUUUCCUGAUGUGCGAUGCCAGAGACAAAUUACUAGUCACAGAUAGUGAAAUCACCCAUACAAAAAAAAACUUUUGGAUACAACCUUUUAUGGUCUGGUGCUCAUGUAACGGAAAUACUCAAUGGCGGCAUAAAAGUAUCAAAAAGUGCACGAAAAUCUUGCAGAAAUCGAGCUUGGAAAGUUAUAUGUUGUAUACAAUUUUAGAUUGUUUGGUGCUCAUGCUAUGGUAGAAGCCUUACUACUGAAUGAUGCUAUAACAUUCGCCAAAAAAUAAUAAUAAUAACAUCAAAAUCCUAAAGCAGAAAGUUUUCACAGAGUUCCAAUAAAUAACGAGCUUACCGUAUGCAUUUUUAAUCUGUGCUGACUGGAAGCUUAUUGAGACAAUAAUAUGCAAUUACGAGCAUGGAGAGCUCUGCCGUGCUACUCAGCUGAAUAUGCCACCUUCUUACUUGAUAAACAGCCUACAUUAAAAAUUGCACACAGAAUGAUCUUAGUGACAUGCAUUACACAAACAAUUACAAUACAUAAUUGUCACACUAUUGUGUACAUAAAUUAAUUUGGCAGAAGGCAACUACGAUAUCUGCAUCCCAUAUGGUGAAGAAGCUAGAAUUCAAGAAUAAGCGAGGGAAAUAGCUCAAAUGGUGGAUAAAAUCUACAGACCAGAGCAUACUCUGAAAGAGCGAAAGGUCUGGUGGGCCAGCUUUGGCAUGUAGGCUCUCUUAACUCGGGGAUGCUGUUAAGUUCUUCUAUACCAUCUUAUGUCUAAUCUUCAAAGUUCCAACUCAUUAAAAUGGUUAUACACCAGUUGAUUGUCUUUCUAAGGUACUCAUGUAUAUAGGGUUUUUAUUACUAAAUAUAAAAAUGGGGUCGCUUACUUUUUACUGAAAGCUGCUUAACUAAACUUGAUUAAUUAACCAGACUGAUUCUCAUCUACAUCAUCAAGCAAUUCUAAGAGAAACCCAAAAAAAUAGCAGGAGGAUGUUCAUAUUCUGUUGACAGUGACAAUUGAAAAGGCAAUGCAAGACAUUGUUGAAGAAAUUACAGCAGACAAAACUCACAAAGAUCUAUUGGCCUAUUGGGAGGAGUUUAUACAUUUUUAUUUCCAUUUUUAAUAAUGAUAUUAAUGCUUUGAAUUGGGGAUACUGUAUAAUCGGAACCACUGACAGAUAAUCAACAAUGGGUGCUAUUAAUAAAAACAACAAACUCUAUCUCCAGUCAAUUAGGGUUUUAUCAAUAAACUUGACUAAGAGUUUCAAGCUAUCUCAAAUUAAAACCUGCUGCUCAAAAACAAAGGGUUGAAUCUCAUAUUGCAAAAGGGCAAGUAUUAAAGAAUGCUAAAAAAAUAAAAUUAAGGGUUAUAAAAAUUGAGCAAACCAAAUUCAGAAACAUCUGAAAACAAUCCAAAUCCAAGGUGUCAGAAACGUAGAGAGAAGAGAAUUAUGUAACCUUGUAGGCACUAUUGUGCAGAUGUUCUGAUCAUAACAAGUAGUCUAUGUACUUCAUUUUCAUUUCUAUGUAGGCAUAAAACUUGCAAUCAUGAAUCACCACAACAUUGACAAUUAUCAUUUAUCAUUUAUGCUGAUAUCUGUUUCUACUUAUCUUUUAACUUUCUAAGCACAACAACAAGACAAUUGGGAGGAACGUGAGUAUGUGACAUUGUGACUUGUGACCAGUGACCAGUGACCACCCCAACACCAACAUGCACAUGUAAAGCGAGUCCAAAACCCUCUAUUGCUUCUGGGUAUCUGCAGUGG
Molecule: long non-coding RNA, 7341 nt
Filed under: Aquilegia coerulea
Lineage: Eukaryota; Viridiplantae; Streptophyta; Magnoliopsida; Ranunculales; Ranunculaceae
Description: long non-coding RNA (ACOE_LNC001011)
Source: RNAcentral